ACAUGCAAGUCGAACGGCAGCGACAGGAGCAAUCGGCGGCGAGUGGCGGACGGGUGAGUAAUACUCGGAACGUGUCCUGUAGUGGAGAUAGCCCGGCGAAAGCCGGAUUAAUACCCGCAUACGCUCUACGGAGGAAAGGGGGGAUCUUAGGACCUCUCGCUACAGGGGCGGCCGAUGGCAGAUUAGCUAGUUGGUGGGGUAAAGGCUUACCAAGGCGACGAUCUAUAGCUGGUCUGAGAGGACGACCAGCCACACUGGGACUGAGACACGGCCCAGACUCCUACGGGAGGCAGCAGUGGGGAAUUUUGGACAAUGGGCGCAAGCCUGAUCCAGCAAUGCCGCGUGUGUGAAGAAGGCCUUCGGGUUGUAAAGCACUUUUGUCCGGAAAG
RNAcentral lists this ribosomal RNA (389 nucleotides) under uncultured bacterium NIC024. Its description in RNAcentral is "bacterial SSU rRNA". It matches the Rfam family "Bacterial small subunit ribosomal RNA", at positions 53 to 447 of the family's 1533-position model. Lineage: Bacteria; Pseudomonadati; Pseudomonadota; Betaproteobacteria. The record is from RNAcentral.